This 359-nucleotide ribosomal RNA is filed under the name uncultured bacterium. RNAcentral's name for it is "bacterial SSU rRNA". It matches the Rfam family "Bacterial small subunit ribosomal RNA", at positions 151 to 507 of the family's 1533-position model. The record is from RNAcentral.
GAGAAAUUUGGAUUAAUACCCCAUAACAUAUUUGAUAAGGCAUCUUAUUAAUAUUAAAGCUUCGGCACUUGAUGAUGGGUGUGCGGCUGAUUAGAUAGUUGGCGGGUAACGGCCCACCAAGUCUACGAUCAGUAGCUGAUGUGAGAGCAUGAUCAGCCACACGGGCACUGAGACACGGGCCCGACUCCUACGGGAGGCAGCAGUAAGGAAUAUUGGACAAUGGACGAAAGUCUGAUCCAGCCAUGCCCGCGUGAAGGAUUAAGGUCCUCUGGAUUGUAAACUUCUUUUAUAUGGGACGAAAAAAGGGCAUUCUUGUUCACUUGACGGUACCAUAUGAAUAAGCACCGGCUAACUCCGUG